GGCUGACUCACCCACCCGUGUUGCGGACGAAAUUGUCGCGCCUCACGUAGGCCGCUACCAUCAACAGAUUUGUACAACUUGUCCGCUCAGUACGUUUCGAUCCUACUGAGGCGAAAGCCCUUAUCCGUGAUCGGCGAAGGAAACAGAACUGAUUUUGUCGUCGCCGCAUUGGCACUAGUGGAGGCCCUUGGAGUAUCUGAGGUCGGCGUUGAUGGCACGGACGAGCUGGAUGGCCUUGAACUACCAGCCGAAGACACCGAAAAAACUUCUUAUCGUCUUCCCCACCUGUUGGCAUACUAGAACACCAAAUGAGGAAUGUGCGGAUGAGGCGGGUAUGGACACCACACCAGAGGUAGGAAUGAGCCAAGCAAUUGUUUUCCUGUUGAGCACGAGAAAACUAUCGGAUGAUAUUCUUCAAGAAAAAUAAUAUUUUCUUAUUGGCAGUGGAUGGGGACGAUUGUUUGAGCAAAAACGGAAGUGUUCGGGAAAACUAUCGGAAGAUAUGACGCAAGAAAAAGGGAUAUUUUUCUUAUCCCCAGCGGUUUUGUCGCACCAAAAAUCACAAUCGGGAUCCACACUAGACUACGAUAUUUUUAAAUGUCGAAAUCGGAACGGAUUUAGUCGUAGUGGGCGAUGGACAAACCGAUUUGCGCAAAAAUAUUCACUACUCGGAUGGAUAAGAGGGCCGUGAGCGAUACAUUUUAUUUUUGCCACCACUAGGUUUUUUGUGUUUGUCACCUUAGUUUUUGGCAAUUUGGAACUUGGCGCGGAAAAAUGCAAAAGAAAACUGCCGAAAUGAGCUGUGCCUCCUGUUGGAUGAAUUUAUCCAGGAUGUGGGGGAAAUUAUUCUGGCUGUUGGUCACUACAGGUGCGACUGGAAUGCUUAAAAUCUCGGUAAUUGCGAAAUUUUCAUAAGCAGCGGAGUGCUGGUACCGCGUAUCGGACUAACGCGUAGGUGCUUACAUAUACCAAAUGUGGUAUGUACAUGUGAAGUAAUCGGUUUUUUUCCCGGAAUUUUUUCCCUGGAUUACUGAUAUUUAUUAUUUAUUAUAAAUAUUCAGUGACAAUAAGAAUGUAAGAAUAUACAAUUCUCUGGAAAUUAAUAAAAAACGCCAAUAAACAACUUCGGAGAAGUGUUUUAUUGGGAGCGGGGUGUUUGCGUGCUGAUCUGAAAAACAUAUGCACAUACAUAUGUACGUGUCGGACGCCGAUAUUAUGGCUGUGUAGCGGAUAACUUGACACGGAAAUUGUCAGCGAGAUCGGACAAUAUGUACAUAAGGAGAUAUUUACAUAUGGAUAUGUGGACACUCGGAAGUGAAGAGUGCGGAACGCCAAUCGCGGAAGGAUUCGAUUGGGGGCACAAUAUGAGCGUACUUAUCUGCAGUUUUCUCUGGAAUCCACCGAUGCUUGCUGGGACAAUCUCAAUUCAGCAAGAAUCCGGCUCGAAGGACCAAUGUUUGUAGUAGGGCGGCUUCCUGUCACUGCAGAUAAAUCCUUGGAAAACCCAAGCGUCCAGAAAUGAAGAGGCACAGUAUAAAUGAUAUAUACAGUGGUUUAUUAUGCACUCGAAACGGCGCGGGUGUAGAAUUGUAUGUGUUUGCGUAUGUAUGGAUGUAGAAUUGUAGAAGUAAUGUCGAUACAUUACUCGCGUGUAGCGGAAUGUACGGGGGUGAGUAGGGAACUGAGGUUAGCUUAGCGGCUGGCUGCCCGCCAGCUCGGGAGCGCCAGGCAAGAAGGAGAGCUCAAGAGCGUAGGGAGUGAGAGCGAGAGCGAGCUCCGGUUGUUAACAACAGCCCGCUGCUAACUCGCUGCUGCUACUUUCAACACAUAGACUUACGAACAAUAAUGUAUCAAAAACAUUAUAUACAAACAAUUUUCUUAACCAAAGAAAUAUUUAAGGGAUGACGAUAGUGAAUAUUGUUAAUAUACAGUGGCGAGCGUUUUUGGUUACAUGGUUACCAC
RNAcentral lists this long non-coding RNA (1962 nucleotides) under Drosophila guanche. Lineage: Eukaryota; Metazoa; Arthropoda; Insecta; Diptera; Drosophilidae. The record is from RNAcentral.